ACGGAUAACAUACCGAAAGGUAUGUUAAUACGGGAUAAUAUAUUUGAGAGGCAUCUCUUGAAUAUCAGAGGUGAGCCAGUACAGGAUGGACCCGCGUCUGAUUAGCUAGUUGGUAAGGUAAAGGCUUACCAAGGCGACGAUCAGUAGCCGACCUGAGAGGGUGAUCGGCCACAUUGGAACUGAGACACGGUCCAAACUCCUACGGGAGGCAGCAGUGGGGAAUAUUGCACAAUGGGCGAAAGCCUGAUGCAGCAACGCCGCGUGAGUGAUGAAGGCCUUCGGGUCGUAAAACUCUGUCCUCAAGGAAGAUAAUGACGGUACUUGAGGAGGAAGCCCCGGCUAACUACGUGCCAGCAGCCGCGGUAAUACGUAGGGGGCUAGCGUUAUCCGGAUUUACUGGGCGUAAAGGGUGCGUAGGCGGUCUUUCAAGUCAGGAGUGAAAGGCUACGGCUCAACCGUAGUAAGCUCUUGAAACUGGGAGACUUGAGUGCAGGAGAGGAGAGUGGAAUUCCUAGUGUAGCGGUGAAAUGCGUAGAUAUUAGGAGGAACACCAGUUGCGAAGGCGGCUCUCUGGACUGUAACUGACGCUGAGGCACGAAAGCGUGGGGAGCAAACAGGAUUAGAUACCCUGGUAGUCCACGCUGUAAACGAUGAGUACUAGGUGUCGGGGGUUACCCCCUUCGGUGCCGCAG
This 692-nucleotide ribosomal RNA is filed under the name uncultured bacterium. RNAcentral describes it as "bacterial SSU rRNA". It matches the Rfam family "Bacterial small subunit ribosomal RNA", at positions 139 to 851 of the family's 1533-position model. The record is from RNAcentral.